Molecule: ribosomal RNA, 355 nt
Filed under: Salmonella enterica subsp. enterica serovar Tennessee
Lineage: Bacteria; Pseudomonadati; Pseudomonadota; Gammaproteobacteria; Enterobacterales; Enterobacteriaceae
Description: bacterial LSU rRNA
Rfam family: Bacterial large subunit ribosomal RNA
Source: RNAcentral
CACUGUGUGUUGUUGGGUAGGGGAGCGUUCUGUAAGCCUGUGAAGGUGGCCUGUGAGGGUUGCUGGAGGUAUCAGAAGUGCGAAUGCUGACAUAAGUAACGAUAAAGCGGGUGAAAAGCCCGCUCGCCGGAAGACCAAGGGUUCCUGUCCAACGUUAAUCGGGGCAGGGUGAGUCGACCCCUAAGGCGAGGCCGAAAGGCGUAGUCGAUGGGAAACGGGUUAAUAUUCCCGUACUUGGUGUUACUGCGAAGGGGGGACGGAGAAGGCUAUGUUGGCCGGGCGACGGUUGUCCCGGUUUAAGCGUGUAGGUGUGUGUUCCAGGUAAAUCCGGUUCACUUUAACACUGAGGCGUGAC